This is a long non-coding RNA of Leucoraja erinaceus (little skate), 1536 nucleotides long. RefSeq lists it as uncharacterized. The record is from RefSeq and is a predicted model, not a curated record. NCBI's taxonomy places the organism in Eukaryota, Metazoa, Chordata, Chondrichthyes, Rajiformes, Rajidae. The transcript is spliced from 3 exons.
UUAUUUAGCUAUUUUAGUCAUGUUAGCUGCAACCUCCAUUUUGUGAAUAGAAUGCUGGUUAAUUUUAAAGAUUGCCUAUUCUGCAAGUCUGCAGAAGCUUGUGGACAUGACCUUCACUAACUAAAGGGAACAGAGAUAACGGCCGUUCCCUAGCAUCUUGUUUCUUUGCCAUAUCAGUGUUCUGCCUGGAGGUUGCAAUGAAUAUAAUAGUGCUUUCUUGCCUAUGCAGAUGGGCUAUGUAUCUCUAUACUCCCAUAUCUCUUUAAUGUUAGUUUGAAGGUUUUCAUUGUAUGUAACUGUUCACUUAUGCCUACUAACCAUGUGACUAAUGUUGUUUUAUCAGUAUAUAGAUACUUGUAAUUUCUCUGUAUAGUCAGUAGAGGUGUAGCAGCUUGCGAGUGUGCAUCUGAGUGCACACUACUGGCUGUGUCCUAUUUUCACCCGGGUGAGAGUAAAAGUUUGUUCAACGAGACCUUUGACUCUUUGAAUUAUUAUUCCACUCAUCAAGUCUCACCAACUUUAACACCAUCCUCUGCAUAGAGUGAUUUUCCGUGUGGAUUUUACAUUGCGAUUAAAGACAGAAUAGUUCAAGUUUCCUUUCUCUGGGUUUGGGAAGUACCUCAGGAGUUUCCCUCUUUGACAAAGUUCACCUCCAGACGAUGUGCAAAUUGAAAGUGGAAGAGGUCAAUAAAAGGGAAUUCAGUGCACCACUCUUCAGUUAAACACCAACAGAGAGGAAGGACAGAGUCGUGGAUAAACAGAGGAUUCCUCAGCAGAGGACGAAUCAACAGUGAAUUAAAAAUGAGCAGCACAUCUACCAUGGCAAUUCUGAUCCUGCUUCUGUGUGCCUUUGCUGCACAUGGUAUUCCGACCUUAGAAAUCCAAGGACGUUGUCAGUGCAUUAAACCGACCAGGAAAUUUAUUCACCCAAAGUUCAUGAAGAGUGUGAAAUAUAUUCCCAGAGGUUUGCACUGUGAGAGACAGGAGAUAAUGUGAGUUCACAUUAAAGUUGAAUCAACGGAAUAACCCCUCCCCCCAAUUUUGUAUUAAUGUGUGUUCUUUAUUUAAAUUAUUUUUUAAUGAAAUCGGGCUGAAGCAAACCCUAACAGCUUUCUUUCUAAUUUUUGCUGAAGCCUCUGCCUUUGAGAGAAAGGCAUUCAACUUCUGUGGAUUAGAUUCUAAAAUGUAUCUUCUUUUCACAGUCAAGCUGAAAAGUGGGAAAAAACUCUGUGUGAAUCCCCGUGCCAAAUGGUUGAAGGUCAUCUUUAAGGCUGAAAGAGGCUUUAGACACAAAACUAAGAAAUUAAUCGAGUGAAGGAUUGAACUCAAUUCGACCUGGAUUACCUCAACUAUCUAUCACAAAUGAUGCAACUGAAUGCUUCGCUUUAUAACUUCUGAGAGCUUGUUCUACAAUUUCCUACUUUGUUUCUAAUAUUUCCACUUGUCAAAGUUGCUAUUUACAUAAACUUCUUGCAAAUGGCUGCAAUAUCUUCCAGAGUAUAUUUUAUGUGGAUGUUAUCAAAAUAUUACAAUGUU